Molecule: ribosomal RNA, 253 nt
Filed under: uncultured bacterium
Lineage: Bacteria
Description: partial 16S ribosomal RNA
Rfam family: Bacterial small subunit ribosomal RNA
Source: RNAcentral
UACGUAGGGUGCAAGCGUUGUCCGGAAUCAUUGGGCGUAAAGCGCGCGUAGGUGGCUUCGUAAGUCCGUUGUGAAAGUCAAAGGCUCAACCUUUGAAAGCCGAUGGAUACUGCGGAGCUAGAGUACGGAAGAGGCGAGUGGAAUUCCUGGUGUAGCGGUGGAAUGCGCAGAUAUCAGGAGGAACACCAACAGCGAAGGCAGAUCUCUGGGACGUAACUGACGCUGAGACGCGAAAGCGUGGGGAGCAAACAGG